Molecule: transfer RNA, 72 nt
Filed under: Ornithorhynchus anatinus (platypus)
Lineage: Eukaryota; Metazoa; Chordata; Mammalia; Monotremata; Ornithorhynchidae
Rfam family: tRNA
About the family: Transfer RNA (tRNA) molecules are approximately 80 nucleotides in length. Their secondary structure includes four short double-helical elements and three loops (D, anti-codon, and T loops). Further hydrogen bonds mediate the characteristic L-shaped molecular structure. tRNAs have two regions of fundamental functional importance: the anti-codon, which is responsible for specific mRNA codon recognition, and the 3' end, to which the tRNAs corresponding amino acid is attached (by aminoacyl-tRNA synthetases). tRNAs cope with the degeneracy of the genetic code in two manners: having more than one tRNA (with a specific anti-codon) for a particular amino acid; and 'wobble' base-pairing, i.e. permitting non-standard base-pairing at the 3rd anti-codon position.
Source: Rfam by way of RNAcentral
AGCAGCAUGGCUCAGGGAGAAGAGCACGGGCUUGGGAGUCCGAGGUCAUGGGUUCGAAUCCCAGCUCUGCCA